Molecule: ribosomal RNA, 868 nt
Filed under: uncultured bacterium
Lineage: Bacteria
Description: bacterial SSU rRNA
Rfam family: Bacterial small subunit ribosomal RNA
Source: RNAcentral
UGUGGCGUAAGCGCAUGCAGCGCGGUCUGUUAAGCAAGAUGUGAAAGCCCGGGGCUCAACCUCGGAACAGCAUUUUGAACUGGCAGACUAGAGUCUUGUAGAGGGGGGUAGAAUUUCAGGUGUAGCGGUGAAAUGCGUAGAGAUCUGAAGGAAUACCGGUGGCGAAGGCGGCCCCCUGGACAAAGACUGACGCUCAGAUGCGAAAGCGUGGGGAGCAAACAGGAUUAGAUACCCCGGUAGUCCACGCCGUAAACGAUGUCUACUUGGAGGUUGGUGUCUUGAACACUGGCUUUCGGAGCUAACGCGUUAAGUAGACCGCCUGGGGAGUACGGUCGCAAGAUUAAAACUCAAAUGAAUUGACGGGGGCCCGCACAAGCGGUGGAGCAUGUGGUUUAAUUCGAUGCAACGCGAAGAACCUUACCUACUCUUGACAUCCAGAGAAUUCGCUAGAGAUAGCUUAGUGCCUUCGGGAACUCUGAGACAGGUGCUGCAUGGCUGUCGUCAGCUCGUGUUGUGAAAUGUUGGGUUAAGUCCCGCAACGAGCGCAACCCUUAUCCUUGUUUGCCAGCACAUAAUGGUGGGAACUCCAGGGAGACUGCCGGUGAUAAACCGGAGGAAGGUGGGGACGACGUCAAGUCAUCAUGGCCCUUACGAGUAGGGCUACACACGUGCUACAAUGGCGUAUACAGAGGGCUGCCAACCAGCGAUGGUGAGCGAAUCCCAGAAAGUACGUCGUAGUCCGGAUUGGAGUCUGCAACUCGACUCCAUGAAGUCGGAAUCGCUAGUAAUCGUGGAUCAGAAUGCCACGGUGAAUACGUUCCCGGGCCUUGUACACACCGCCCGUCACACCAUGGGAGUGGGCUGCACC